RNAcentral lists this ribosomal RNA (157 nucleotides) under Claviceps citrina. Its description in RNAcentral is "5.8S ribosomal RNA". It matches the Rfam family "5.8S ribosomal RNA". From Rfam's summary of the family: 5.8S ribosomal RNA (5.8S rRNA) is a component of the large subunit of the eukaryotic ribosome. It is transcribed by RNA polymerase I as part of the 45S precursor that also contains 18S and 28S rRNA. Lineage: Eukaryota; Fungi; Ascomycota; Sordariomycetes; Hypocreales; Clavicipitaceae. The record is from RNAcentral.
ACUUUCAACAACGGAUCUCUUGGUUCUGGCAUCGAUGAAGAACGCAGCGAAAUGCGAUACGUAAUGUGAAUUGCAGAAUUCAGUGAAUCAUCGAAUCUUUGAACGCACAUUGCGCCCGCCAGUAUUCUGGCGGGCAUGCCUGUUCGAGCGUCAUUUC